GACGAACGCUGGCGGCGCGCUUAACACAUGCAAGUCGAACGGGGCCACCCCGUAAGAACCCUUCGGGGGGAUUAUGGGAAUGGCCCAGUGGCGAACGGGUGAGUAACACGUGAGGAACCUGCCCUUUAGAGGGGGAUAACACUUAGAAAUAGGUGCUAAUACCGCAUAAGACCACAGUGUCGCAUGGCACAGCGGUCAAAGGAGCAAUCCGCUAAAGGAUGGCCUCGCGCCCGAUUAGCUAGUUGGAGGGGUAACGGCCCACCAAGGCAACGAUCGGUAGCCGGACUGAGAGGUCGAUCGGCCACAUUGGGACUGAGACACGGCCCAGACUCCUACGGGAGGCAGCAGUGGGGAAUAUUGCACAAUGGGCGAAAGCCUGAUGCAGCGACGCCGCGUGAGGGAAGAAGGUUUUCGGAUUGUAAACCUCUGUCUAUGGGGACGAAACAAAUGACGGUACCCGUAGAGGAAGCCACGGCUAACUACGUGCCAGCCGCCGCCGUAAAAC
RNAcentral lists this ribosomal RNA (505 nucleotides) under uncultured bacterium. RNAcentral's name for it is "bacterial SSU rRNA". It matches the Rfam family "Bacterial small subunit ribosomal RNA", at positions 28 to 526 of the family's 1533-position model. The record is from RNAcentral.